AGAAAGAUAAGCUAAUUAAGCUAAUGGGUUCAUAUCCCAUACAUAGAGGUUACUACAUUUAAUCCUCUUCUCUCUA
Molecule: transfer RNA, 76 nt
Filed under: Tricholepidion gertschi
Lineage: Eukaryota; Metazoa; Arthropoda; Insecta; Zygentoma; Lepidotrichidae
Description: tRNA-Met
Source: RNAcentral